GAUGAACGCUGGCGGCGUGCCUAAUACAUGCAAGUAGAACGCUGAAGGAGGAGCUUGCUCUUCUGGAUGAGUUGCGAACGGGUGAGUAACGCGUAGGUAACCUGCCUGGUAGCGGGGGAUAACUAUUGGAAACGAUAGCUAAUACCGCAUGACAACAGUUAUUGCAUGAUAACUGUUUAAAAGGGGCAACUGCUCCACUACCAGAUGGACCUGCGUUGUAUUAGCUAGUUGGUGAGGUAACGGCUCACCAAGGCGACGAUACAUAGCCGACCUGAGAGGGUGAUCGGCCACACUGGGACUGAGACACGGCACAGACUCCGACGGGAGGCAGCAGUAGGGAAUCUUCGGCAAUGGACGGAAGUCUGACCGAGCAACGCCGCGUGAGUGAAGAAGGUUUUCGGAUCGUAAAGCUCUGUUGUAAGAGAAGAACGAGUGUGAGAGUGGAAAGUUCACACUGUGACGGUAUCUUACCAGAAAGGGACGGCUAACUACGUG
RNAcentral lists this ribosomal RNA (495 nucleotides) under uncultured bacterium. RNAcentral's name for it is "partial 16S ribosomal RNA". It matches the Rfam family "Bacterial small subunit ribosomal RNA", at positions 28 to 507 of the family's 1533-position model. The record is from RNAcentral.